RNAcentral lists this long non-coding RNA (773 nucleotides) under Elaeis guineensis (African oil palm). RNAcentral describes it as "long non-coding RNA (EGUI_LNC011586)". Lineage: Eukaryota; Viridiplantae; Streptophyta; Magnoliopsida; Arecales; Arecaceae. The record is from RNAcentral.
GGCUUCACAUCAGUCUUGGUCUUUCAUCUCAGCUCAGUCUCAAAUAUUGUCUCGACACUAUUUGAUCUUUGUUUUGAUGUGGUCUUGAUCUUUGCCUCGGCUCAAUUGGAUCUUUGCCUCGGUUCGGCCUCGACUUUUGUCUCGGUUCGAUUUGAUCUUCAUCUCGGAUCGGUUUGAUCUUUAUCUUUGUUCGGUCUUGGUCUUCAUCUCAAAUCAGUUUGAUCUUUAUCUUGGCUUGAUCUUGAUCUUUGUCUUAGCUCGGCCUUGAUUUUCAUCUCUGAUCGGUUUGAUCUUCACCUUAGUUCGAUCUUAAUCUUCACGUCAGACCGAUUUGAUCUUCACCUCAGUUCGAUCUUGAUCUCCACCUCGGAUCGGCCUUAAUUCUCAUCUCGAAUUGGUUUGAUCUUCACUUGGUUCGGCCUUGAUCUUCACCUUGGAUCGGUUUGAUCUUUACCUUGGUUCGGUCUUGAUCUUCACCUCGGAUCGAUUUGAUCUUCACCUCGGACUGAUUUGAUCUUCACCUCGAUUCGGUCUCGAUCUUCAUCUCGAAUCUGUCUUGAUCUUCACCUUGGAUCGUUCUUGAUCUUUAUCUCGGAUCUGUUUGAUUUUUACCUUGAUUUGGCCUUGAUCUUCAUCUCAGAUCAGUCUGAUCGUUACCUCGGCUUGGUCUUGAUUUUUGCUUCAGAUCGGUUUGAUCUUCAUCUUGGUUCAGCCUUGUUGUUCACCUCGGCUCGACCUUAUUCUUCGUCUCGGAUUGGUUUGAUUUUCGUCUC